CCUACGGGAGGCAGCAGUGAGGAAUAUUGGUCAAUGGCCGUAAGGCUGAACCAGCCAAGUCGCGUGAAGGAAGAAGGAUCUAUGGUUUGUAAACUUCUUUUAUAGGGGAAUAAAGGUAUCCACGUGUGGAUAUUUGCAUGUACCCUAUGAAUAAGCAUCGGCUAACUCCGUGCCAGCAGCCGCGGUAAUACGGAGGAUGCGAGCGUUAUCCGGAUUUAUUGGGGUUAAAGGGUGCGUAGGUUGUUUUUUAAGUCAGCGGGGAAAGUUUGGGGCUCAACCCUAAGAUUGGCGGUGAAACUGGAAGACUUGGGUGUGGUUGAGGGAGGCGGAAUGCGGGGGGUAGCGGUGAAAUGCAUAGGUAUCACGGAGAACUCCGAUUGCGGAGGCAGCUUACUAGGCCAUAACUGACACUGAAGCACGAAAGCGGGGGGAUCAAACAGGAUGAGAUACCCCGUGUAGUC
RNAcentral lists this ribosomal RNA (461 nucleotides) under uncultured bacterium. Its description in RNAcentral is "partial 16S ribosomal RNA". It matches the Rfam family "Bacterial small subunit ribosomal RNA", at positions 338 to 795 of the family's 1533-position model. The record is from RNAcentral.